This 362-nucleotide RNase P RNA is filed under the name Clostridia bacterium. RNAcentral's name for it is "RNase P RNA component class A". It matches the Rfam family "Bacterial RNase P class A". Rfam says of the family: Ribonuclease P (RNase P) is a ubiquitous endoribonuclease, found in archaea, bacteria and eukarya as well as chloroplasts and mitochondria. Its best characterised activity is the generation of mature 5'-ends of tRNAs by cleaving the 5'-leader elements of precursor-tRNAs. The record is from RNAcentral. Lineage: Bacteria; Bacillati; Bacillota; Clostridia.
AGACCGAACCGGACGGUCGCGCGAUAUCACGCCGAAAGGUAUUAUCGUGAGGAAAGUCCGUGCUUCACAGGGCAGGAUAACUGAUAACGUCAGCCGAGGGUGACCUUAGGGAAAGUGCAACAGAAAAUUACCGCCAUUUUGGUAAGGAUGAAAACGCGGGGUAAGAGCCCACGACGCGCUAUGGUAACACAGCGCGGGUGUAAACCCUAUCCGAAGCAACACCGUAUGCGAAGAUUUUUAUUUGCCCGAUAAGGCUUUUGCCGUCUUUGCAGGUGGCACGCAUUUGCGGAGCGUUCUGGUGACAGGACGCAAAGAUAGAUGACCGUCAAUAACAGAACACGGCUUAUAGGUUCGGUCGCUUU